RNAcentral lists this unclassified non-coding RNA (891 nucleotides) under Hevea brasiliensis (rubber tree). Lineage: Eukaryota; Viridiplantae; Streptophyta; Magnoliopsida; Malpighiales; Euphorbiaceae. The record is from RNAcentral.
CUUGGACAAAAGAAAGGAAAAAAUUUUCCACUAUCUGUGAUCAGUACGGAUGAAUAGAAUAGAAUGGAAGAAUCCCCUUCAUUAUCUAAAAAAAAAGAUUCAUCAUAUUCGUCUAUUGUGUAUCAAAUUUAUGGUUUCAUUGGUGCAAAUUCAAUCACCUCAAUUUUCAAUUUAAAACGAGAAAGAAUUUCCCAUUGGUAGGAAAUGAUUAUCCAUUAAGCAGGGAAAUCUUAUUUAAAUUAAAAGGCCAAAAUUUAUGCCCCUACUCUUGCAAGAACGGACUAAUAGGGUCAACUAAUUAACUAAUCCUCAUAAUUAAAUACCGUUACUGUAUAGAUAGAUCUCCUUGUGAAAGGCCUAUUACUGGAUAAUUCAUGGGUAGAGCCGCCAAAGAGUGUGAACUGUACACGUUAACAAUAGCAUUGAUUAAAUGAUUAAAUGAAGGAGGGGGCUCCGGUGUAUAGAGAAGACCUCACCGUUUAAGAAGUAACCAUAGAAACGAUGGAACCCACUAUUUAUUUAUCAUUUUUAUCUAUUUCUAUUUACUACUUAUUUUUAUUUAUAAUAUUUUUAUUCGAUACCCAAUAUCAAUACAGUUUCUUAUUUCGAGGUGAAAUGCCUCAAACAAAAAAAAUCGUGGUUGGGAAGGUUAUAGUAGCAAAAGCCGUUGGAAUUAUUAUUUUAUACACUGGAAGAAUCCGUUUUGUUAUUAUAGAAAAGGGGAAAAAAAAGAAUAACUGAAAGAAAGGAAAUCAAUUAGUUAUUCAUCAAAAUUUCGUUUAUUCAAUGACCAGAAUUAGACGAGGAUAUAUAGCUCGGAGGCGUAGAACAAAAAUUCGUUUAUUCGCAUCAAGCUUUCGCGGGGCCCAUUCAAGACUUACUCGAACUAUU